RNAcentral lists this long non-coding RNA (1199 nucleotides) under Mus spicilegus (steppe mouse). Its description in RNAcentral is "lncRNA (ENSMSIG00000026342.1)". Lineage: Eukaryota; Metazoa; Chordata; Mammalia; Rodentia; Muridae. The record is from RNAcentral.
UCAAUUAUGUUUCUGCUUUGGAGAUUCUGGCAAGCUGUUGAAGGAGGUAUCUAUAACUACCGUGUUUCUGGAUCCUACGAAGAGACUUUCAUGAUGCUUCACACAUUCCACAGUUCUUCACAGCCUGUGAACCGUCAUGCUACUAAAAGAAUGUCCACAUGAAUACUGUUGGGGGAAGUAACCAGGUGAAGACUUUAGAAAAAGACCCCCUUGGGCCCAGGUAAAGAUCAUUACUGAAAUGUCCUUAGCAGGUUUGCAUGAUUUUCACUUUCACUGGCUUUGGAUAUAAAACAGUUGUUAAUAUCAGUGUUCUCUAUGCCCUCUGGCCCACAGCAGUAUUUGAAAUGUAGUCUAAAGCUGUUUAGAAAUGUUCUAAACAUUUCAUUCUUAGGUGUUCUCAACAAAGCCAAUAUCUCUUCAGAAAAUAUACUGAAGACGUCAAGAGCUUUCUGUGGCUGGUGGCCUGUAUCUUCAUGUUGUCAAUUGCUGGCAUUCAUGAUAAAAUAGCUCCAUGAAUGAACCAUGUCUCUGUUACUGUUGUGGUUGAAAUCUUAACUGUGAAAUCUGGACCCCUUUGAAGGUCUGAACUGUCUUCUUUCUAGACUCUGACCUUCUAAUAGAGUGACUCACACCCUUCCCAAUGCUGUGACCCUUUAAUGCAGUCUUCAAUGUUGCAUUGACCCUCCUAAACCAUAACAUUAUUUUCAUUGCUACUUAGUAACUUUAAUCUUGUUACAGUUAUGAAUUAUAAUGUAAAUGUCUGUGUUUCCUCAUGGUCUUAGGUGACUCCGGUUAAAGGGACAUUUGACCUCAAAAGGGAUUACAGUUUUCAGGUUGCUUUAGAAAGACUCCCUUGGACUCAGUAGGUGUUCACUUCAGCAACUAAGGACAUGACUGAAUGAAUGAACUCCAGGCAGUCCAGUCCCAGCUGGUCCAGUACCGGACAGCGAGUAAGAGCAAAGGACACAGUGUCUGAGGGUGGUGUCUGUCAGAGCACUACAGCCUCCAGCAAGAAGUGGGAGAGGUUCCCAGCUACCUGCUCUGCCAUGCCGGCUGGCAGGACCUGGGAGAGGUGGAAACAGCUUGGGACUGCAGAGGAGCUGAGAGGUGCAGAGGAAAAUGGGGGUCACCAGAUGAACACCAGACUUGCUUUUUGUUCAGCUUUGUUGAAGCCAGCGUGUAGCCCAUCUCCGCUCUAG